Molecule: ribosomal RNA, 372 nt
Filed under: Aulodrilus pluriseta
Lineage: Eukaryota; Metazoa; Annelida; Clitellata; Tubificida; Naididae
Description: partial 16S Ribosomal RNA
Rfam family: Bacterial large subunit ribosomal RNA
Source: RNAcentral
UCCUAACCGUGCAAAGGUAGCAUAAUCAUUUGCCUAUUAAUUGUAGGCUAGAAUGAAAGGAUAAACGAGGAUAAUACUGUCUCCAUUAGGCCAAUAAAAAUUAACCUUCAAGUGAAGAGGCUUAAAUUAAAUCGCAGGACAAGAAGACCCUAUAGAGCUUUAUCUUAUAGCAUAUAUAUUAAUGCUUAACGAUUCGGUUGGGGCGACCAGGGGCUAAUACUCACCCCUAAAUUUUAAGACCUACAAGUCUCACCAAAGAUCCUAACAUUAGAUCAUAGAAUCCAGCUACCUUAGGGAUAACAGGCUAAUUCCUCUUGAGAGUUCUUAUCAACAGAGGAGGUUGGCACCUCGAUGUUGGCUUAGGGUCUCUUC